RNAcentral lists this long non-coding RNA (265 nucleotides) under Elaeis guineensis (African oil palm). Its description in RNAcentral is "long non-coding RNA (EGUI_LNC042940)". Lineage: Eukaryota; Viridiplantae; Streptophyta; Magnoliopsida; Arecales; Arecaceae. The record is from RNAcentral.
ACUCAGGCUCGGUGUCCGCCUGAGACCGACCGCACCAUCGUCGAUGAUGCAUCGGACCCUUACGAGGAUCGAUAUAUUUAUAUUGAUUGGAGUUGACACUCCUUCGACGGUCAACGAAACAUCGGACCCUUACGAGGACCGAUAUAUUUAUAUUGACGGGAGUUGACACUCCUUCGACGGUCGACGAAACAUCGGACCCCUACGAGGAUCGAUAUAUUUAUAUUGACGGGAGUUGACACUCCUUCGAUGGUCGUACUUUCGGGCC